GAUCCUGGCUCAGGAUGAACGCUAGCUACAGGCUUAACACAUGCAAGUCGAGGGGCAGCAUGGUCUUAGCUUGCUAAGGCUGAUGGCGACCGGCGCACGGGUGAGUAACACGUAUCCAACCUGCCGUCUACUCUUGGCCAGCCUUCUGAAAGGAGGAUUAAUCCAGGAUGGGAUCAUGAGUUCACGUGUCCGCAUGAUUAAAGGUAUUUUCCGGUAGACGAUGGGG
RNAcentral lists this ribosomal RNA (226 nucleotides) under uncultured bacterium. RNAcentral's name for it is "partial 16S ribosomal RNA". It matches the Rfam family "Bacterial small subunit ribosomal RNA", at positions 15 to 230 of the family's 1533-position model. The record is from RNAcentral.